Molecule: ribosomal RNA, 304 nt
Filed under: uncultured bacterium
Lineage: Bacteria
Description: partial 16S ribosomal RNA
Rfam family: Bacterial small subunit ribosomal RNA
Source: RNAcentral
CAGCAGCCGCCGCGGGAAUACGAAGGGUGCAAGCGUUACUCGGAACUACUGGGCGUAAAGCGUGCGUAGGUGGUGGUUUAAGUCCGUUGUGAAAGCCCUGGGCUCAACCUGGGAAUUGCAGUGGAUACUGGAUCACUAGAGUGUGGUAGAGGAUAGUGGAAUUUCCGGUGUAGCAGUGAAAUGCGUAGAGAUCGGAAGGAACAUCUGUGGCGAAGGCGACUAUCUGGGCCAACACUGACACUGAGGCACGAAAGCGUGGGGAGCAAACAGGAUUAGAUACCCCGGUAGUCCCUGUCUCUUAUAC